UAAUAUCGGAACGUACCCAAGAGUGGGGGAUAACGUAGCGAAAGUUACGCUAAUACCGCAUACGAUCUAAGGAUGAAAGUGGGGGAUUCGCAAGAACCUCAUGCUCCUGGAGCGGCCGAUAUCUGAUUAGCUAGUUGGUAGGGUAAAGGCCUACCAAGGCAUCGAUCAGUAGCUGGUCUGAGAGGACGACCAGCCACACUGGAACUGAGACACGGUCCAG
This 220-nucleotide ribosomal RNA is filed under the name uncultured bacterium. RNAcentral describes it as "partial 16S ribosomal RNA". It matches the Rfam family "Bacterial small subunit ribosomal RNA", at positions 113 to 334 of the family's 1533-position model. The record is from RNAcentral.